This 253-nucleotide ribosomal RNA is filed under the name uncultured prokaryote. RNAcentral's name for it is "partial 16S ribosomal RNA". It matches the Rfam family "Bacterial small subunit ribosomal RNA", at positions 524 to 776 of the family's 1533-position model. The record is from RNAcentral.
CACGGGGGGAGCAAGCGUUGUUCGGAUUCAUUGGGCGUAAAGGGCUCGUAGGUGGCUUUGUAAGUCGGAGGUGAAAUCCCACGGCUCAACCGUGGACACGCCUUCGAAACUGUGAAGCUUGAGGCUGGGAGAGGAAAUCGGAAUUCCUGGUGUAGCGGUGAAAUGCGUAGAUAUCGUGAGGAACACCAGAGGCGAAGGCGGCAUCCUGGACCGGCAUUGACGCUGAGGCGCGAAAGCCAGGGGAGCAAACGGG